This 253-nucleotide ribosomal RNA is filed under the name uncultured bacterium. Its description in RNAcentral is "partial 16S ribosomal RNA". It matches the Rfam family "Bacterial small subunit ribosomal RNA", at positions 524 to 776 of the family's 1533-position model. The record is from RNAcentral.
UACAUGGGGUGCAAACGUUGCUCGGAAUUAUUGGGCGUAAAGCGCACGUAGGUGGUCUGUUAUGUCAGAUGUGAAAGCCCUCGGCUUAACUGAGGAAGUGCACCUGAAACUGGCAGGCUUGAGUACGAAAGAGGGUCGCGGAAUUCCCGGUGUAGAGGUGAAAUUCGUAGAUAUCGGGAGGAACACCGGUGGCGAAGGCGGCAUCCUGGACCGACACUGACGCUGAGGAGCGAAAGCCAGGGGAGCAAACGGG